This 292-nucleotide ribosomal RNA is filed under the name uncultured bacterium. RNAcentral's name for it is "partial 16S ribosomal RNA". It matches the Rfam family "Bacterial small subunit ribosomal RNA", at positions 505 to 796 of the family's 1533-position model. The record is from RNAcentral.
GUGCCAGCCGCCGCGGUAAGACGAACUGUCCUAACGUUGUUCGGAAUCACUGGGCUUAAAGGGCGCGUAGGCGGUCCAUCAAGUCAGGGGUGAAAUCCUGCAGCUUAACUGUAGAAGUGCCUCUGAUACUGAUGGUCUGGAGGGAAAUAGGGGUGUGCGGAACUUCCAGUGGAGCGGUGAAAUGCGUUGAUAUUGGAAGGAACGCCGGAGGCGAAAGCGGCGCACUGGAUUUCUUCUGACGCUGAGGCGCGAAAGCCAGGGGAGCAAACGGGAUUAGAAACCCUAGUAGUCC